GACGAACGCUGGCGGCGUGCUUAACACAUGCAAGUCGAACGGACAGGCCCUGCUUUUGUUGGUUGCUCGAUUGGCGAACGGGUGAGUAACACGUGUGUAACCUGCCCUUGACUUUGGGAUAACUUCAGGAAACUGGGGCUCAUACCGGAUAUGAUCUCCUGCUCCAUGGUGGGGGUUGGAAAGUUUCGGCGGUUGGGGCUGGACUCGCGGCUUAUCCGCUUGUUUGUGUGGUAGUGGCUGACCAAGGGUUUGACGGGUAGCCGGCCUGAGAGGGUGACCGGCCACAAGGGGACUGAGGUACGGAGCAGAAGGGUACGGGAGGCAGUAGGGGGGAAUAUUGCAGAAUGGGCGGAAGCCUGAGGCAGCAACGCCGCGUGCGGGAUGACGGCCUGCGGGUGGUAAACCGAUUUCGAAGGUGAUGAAGCGUGAGUGACGGUAAUGGGUAAAGAAGCAACGGCUAACUACGUG
This 468-nucleotide ribosomal RNA is filed under the name uncultured bacterium. Its description in RNAcentral is "partial 16S ribosomal RNA". It matches the Rfam family "Bacterial small subunit ribosomal RNA", at positions 28 to 507 of the family's 1533-position model. The record is from RNAcentral.